CUCGUAGGCGGCCUCCUAAGUCAGACGUGAAAGCCCUCGGCUCAACCGGGGAACGGCGUCUGAGACUGGAAGGCUUGAAUCCGGGAGAGGGAUGCGGAAUUCCAGGUGUAGCGGUGAAAUGCGUAGAUAUCUGGAGGAACACCGGUGGCGAAGGCGGCAUCCUGGACCGGUAUUGACGCUGAGGAGCGAAAGCCAGGGGAGCAAACG
This 207-nucleotide ribosomal RNA is filed under the name uncultured bacterium. Its description in RNAcentral is "partial 16S ribosomal RNA". It matches the Rfam family "Bacterial small subunit ribosomal RNA", at positions 568 to 774 of the family's 1533-position model. The record is from RNAcentral.